Molecule: ribosomal RNA, 467 nt
Filed under: uncultured bacterium
Lineage: Bacteria
Description: partial 16S ribosomal RNA
Rfam family: Bacterial small subunit ribosomal RNA
Source: RNAcentral
GACGAACGCUGGCGGCGUGCUUAACACAUGCAAGUCGAACGGAAAGGCCCUGCUUUUGUGGGGUGCUCGAGUGGCGAACGGGUGAGUAACACGUGAGUAACCUGCCCUUGACUUUGGGAUAACUUCAGGAAACUGGGGCUAAUACCGGAUAGGAGCUCCUGCUGCAUGGUGGGGGUUGGAAAGUUUCGGCGGUUGGGGAUGGACUCGCGGCUUAUCAGCUUGUUGGUGGGGUAGUGGCUUACCAAGGCUUUGACGGGUAGCCGGCCUGAGAGGGUGACCGGCCACAUUGGGACUGGGAUACGGCCCAGACUCAUACGGGAGGCAGCGGUGGAGAAUAUUGCACAAUGGGCGGAAGCCUGAUGCAGCAACGCCGCGUGCGGGAUGACGGCCUUCGGGUUGUAAACCGCUUUCGCCUGUGACGAAGCGUGAGUGACGGUAAUGGGUAAAGAAGCGCCGGCUAACUACGU